AGAGCGAACGCUGGCGGCAGGCUUAACACAUGCAAGUCGAGCGGGCGUAGCAAUACGUCAGCGGCAGACGGGUGAGUAACGCGUGGGAACGUACCUUUUGGCUCGGAACAACACAGGGAAACUUGUGCUAAUACCGGAUAAGCCCUUACGGGGAAAGAUUUAUCGCCAAAAGAUCGGCCCGCGUCUGAUUAGCUAGUUGGUGAGGUAACGGCUCACCAAGGCGACGAUCAGUAGCUGGUCUGAGAGGAUGAUCAGCCACAUUGGGACUGAGACACGGCCCAAACUCCUACGGGAGGCAGCAGUGGGGAAUCUUGCGCAAUGGCCGGAAGGCUGACGCAGCGACGCCGCGUGUGGGAGGACGCCCUUCGGGGUGUAAACCACUGUUGCCCGGGACGAAAUCUCCUUUGGGGAGACUGACGGUACCGGGUGAGGAAGCACCGGCUAACUCCGUGCCAGCAGCCGC
Molecule: ribosomal RNA, 463 nt
Filed under: uncultured bacterium
Lineage: Bacteria
Description: SSU rRNA
Rfam family: Bacterial small subunit ribosomal RNA
Source: RNAcentral